Molecule: unclassified non-coding RNA, 269 nt
Filed under: fungal sp.
Lineage: Eukaryota; Fungi
Description: partial internal transcribed spacer region
Rfam family: Eukaryotic small subunit ribosomal RNA (bases 1-46)
Source: RNAcentral
AAGUCGUAACAAGGUUUCCGUAGGUGAACCUGCGGAAGGAUCAUUACCGAGUUGUCUGCAAAGACUCCUCCCACCCUUGUGAAUGAUGCGGAUGAGCAGCUUCGGCGGGCCGUUUCUGUUUGGGACAUCCUCUUCGGAGGGAUGUUACAGGACAGGAACAUCGGCCUUUGAGCGGAUCUGUGCGCGCCGAAGGAAACAACUCUGCUAAUUUGAAGUCUGAUAAACUUGAUAAUCAAUCAAAACUUUCAACAACGGAUCUCUUGGUUCUG